This is a long non-coding RNA of Arvicola amphibius (Eurasian water vole), 2016 nucleotides long. RefSeq lists it as uncharacterized. The transcript has 2 exons. The record is from RefSeq and is a predicted model, not a curated record. NCBI's taxonomy places the organism in Eukaryota, Metazoa, Chordata, Mammalia, Rodentia, Cricetidae.
GCCACUCUCAGCCGGGCCCACAACGGCUGUGACAUUUUAGAUAAUGAUGGCUCUGUGACCUUACGUUCCAACGCACCUGUGGAUGUAACUCAAACACUAGGGACGAUAACAUCUAUGACUUCAUUCCUGGGAGUGCGCCAGACGUGGUGACGUCUUCCUGCAAAGACCCCUUCGGUACCCCUUCCGGAUCACAGCUGCCCGAUUCCUGAAGUCUCGUCUGCUCCAGUAUGGUCUCGAUCUGCCUUAGCUUACAUUUUCAGCCAUCCAGAGCUGCCCCUCCUCCUCCAGUCAGUACUCCGAAGUUCAAAUUCCUCCACUGAGUCCAGCGGAAACUUGGUGAUAACUGCCCGGCUGUAAAAGUCACCAGAGGGCAUGCUGCUGCGUGAUCAGGUUGUUCCGACUGGCUAAAGUCCUCAGUUCUAGCUAGCACGCACUUGAGCUUCUGGGGCCGCAGACUGUCCAGAAAAGAACAGACCCUUAGCCAGAUAUUGUAACACACCUGAAUUCUUAGCACAAGCAAAAAAAUGUCUGGCCACCUCUUUUUAUUUCCACAAUUGCAUUUUCUUUUUGAGGCAGGGUCUGACAUUUCUAAGGCUGAUCUGGCUUUACUUCCCAGGUGUGGGGAUGGCAGGCCUGUAACCACCAUCCCCGGUGCAUGAAGGGGAUCAAAGACAGGGCCUCGAGCAUGCUAAACAAGCUCUCUACAGACAGAGUCCACCCACAGUCUGCUUCUCCCACAUUUCCACUGUCUUAGGUACAGCAGAGGGUGAAGGAGGGGAGGGAGCAAGUGUGUGGCUGUGUGUGCACAUAUGUGGACACCCAAGUGUUGCUUCCAUCUUUAGAUAGUUCCUUUAGGAUCCACCUCCUAUCUGGAACAAUAGUUCCCUCUCCUCAACGACUGAGGAUUUUUAAGAGCUAGUCGUGACUGGUCACUUCUAGUUCGAACUGCAGUUUUCCUGUCAGCCUUCCUUGGUCAUCAGAUUCCAGCUUGAUCCCACAUCGUCCUUUCUUUCAACCCUCAGAGCACCAUACCUGAGCUAUUUAAAGCCAUGGGCAUCCCCAACAGUCGACAGUGCCUUAGGGAUGGCAACAGGAUCGUAAAGAAAACUUCAAUCUCAUGCUGGUCUGCUAGACCUGUGAUCACCCAAGUCCCUCCUAGUCUGCCUUUCUCCACAGCUUCUCAACGAAGUGCUAUGCCUGCUGUCCUCAACCUCCAGUCUUCACAGUCCCUGCAUCGCAGAUGUCCAUAAAGGACAUCAGUUAACAUACAGGCCAAGGGAGGCGCUCACACCCUUUACUACACAGACUGGUUGGACUUCCUUCAAAAUUGCAGGUGUGGGCUGGGGAAAUGACCCAGAAGAUACUGGGUCAUGCUGCACAGGCCCCGAUGACCUGAGUUUGCUUCUCAGAAGCCCUCAGUAGAGAGAACCGACUCCCCCAAAGUCCUCUGACCUUCGCAAACCCACCAUGGCACCCACACAUUCACACUCACAUGAGUGCAUUGCACCCCUAUACACACACAGGAAAAUUCAAUUCAAAGUUGCCCUGCUGGACCUGGACAUGAGCACUGGGGUGAUUUUUCUCUCCCUACAAACAUUGCUCCCCACUGCUCUCCUGUCACCUUCUCUCCUCCCUCCCCCUUUCUCUUCCCUUCCUCUCCUCCUUCUCUUCCUCUCCCCUUUUCACUGCUUUGCCUCUACAGACUAUUCCUUUUUGUUAUAAUGACAUAAAAAGAUUUCUAGUCAUUGCUCAGUGGUGAAAUUACAAGUCAUUUUUCAUUUCCCCAUUUAUAUGCUUGUGCUCUCAUUUUUACACGAUUUUUCAUAAUGAGCGAAUGUUAUUUUUCAUUAGUAAGAAAAUAAAACAAACAGGAAGCCUCAAAUGACCCCAGGAAGAAUGACGAUAGGAAAGCUGGGCUUUGCCCCGGAGGCUCUUCUUGCUCAAGGACAAUGCCUCAUCUCCCUCCAUAGAUACUGCUUCUCCUAUAACUUAAAAUAAAUAUUUCAUUACAUUUUC